Molecule: ribosomal RNA, 255 nt
Filed under: Enterobacter asburiae
Lineage: Bacteria; Pseudomonadati; Pseudomonadota; Gammaproteobacteria; Enterobacterales; Enterobacteriaceae
Description: partial 23S ribosomal RNA
Rfam family: Bacterial large subunit ribosomal RNA
Source: RNAcentral
UCCAAGGCUAAAUACUCCUGACUGACCGAUAGUGAACCAGUACCGUGAGGGAAAGGCGAAAAGAACCCCGGCGAGGGGAGUGAAAAAGAACCUGAAACCGUGUACGUACAAGCAGUGGGAGCACCUUCGUGGUGUGACUGCGUACCUUUUGUAUAAUGGGUCAGCGACUUAUAUUCUGUAGCAAGGUUAACCGUAUAGGGGAGCCGAAGGGAAACCGAGUCUUAACUGGGCGUUAAGUUGCAGGGUAUAGACCCG